AUUGAACGCUGGCGGAAUGCUUUACACAUGCAAGUCGAACGGCAGCACGGACUUCGGUCUGGUGGCGCGUGGCGAACGGGUGAGUAAUGUAUCGGAACGUGCCCAGUCGUGGGGGAUAACGUAGUGAAAAUUACGCUAAUACCGCAUACGAUCUGUGGAUGAAAGCGGGGGAUCGCAAGACCUCGCGCGAUUGGAGCGGCCGAUAUCAGAUUAGGUAGUUGGUGGCGUAAAGGCCCACCAAGCCAACGAUCUGUAGCUGGUCUGAGAGGACGAACAGCCACACUGGAACUGAGACACGGUCCAGACUCCUACGGGAGGCGGCAGUGGGGAAUUUUGGACGAUGGGCGAAAGCCUGAUCCAGCCAUUCCGCGUGCAGGAUGAAGGCCCUCGGGUUGUAAACUGCUUUUGUACAGAACGAAAAGGUUUCUACUAAUACUAGGAGCUCAUGACGGUACUGUAAGAAUAAGCACCGGCUAACUACGUGCCAGCCGCCGCGGUAA
This 500-nucleotide ribosomal RNA is filed under the name uncultured bacterium. RNAcentral's name for it is "partial 16S ribosomal RNA". It matches the Rfam family "Bacterial small subunit ribosomal RNA", at positions 30 to 523 of the family's 1533-position model. The record is from RNAcentral.